GAUUAAGUUAUUAAGGGCGCACGGUGGAUGCCUUGGCACUAGAAGCCGAUGAAGGACGUUAAUAACGACGAUAUGCUUUGGGGAGCUGUAAGUAAGCUUUGAUCCAGAGAUUUCCGAAUGGGGAAACCCAGCAUGAGUUAUGUCAUGUUAUCGAUAUGUGAAUACAUAGCAUAUCAGAAGGCACACCCG
This 189-nucleotide ribosomal RNA is filed under the name Staphylococcus aureus. RNAcentral describes it as "partial 23S ribosomal RNA". It matches the Rfam family "Bacterial large subunit ribosomal RNA", at positions 1 to 187 of the family's 2925-position model. The record is from RNAcentral. Lineage: Bacteria; Bacillati; Bacillota; Bacilli; Caryophanales; Staphylococcaceae.